CAGUGCUGAAGUUUAAUGUUUAAGGCAUGGCAGAAGUUGAUUGAAAUUAGAUUUUGAAUGAUCUGAUUUGUGGACUAAUAGUUUUGAGCAUUCUUUGGUGGUUUCUUCAUUUCAUCAACUAAAUCAUCUCUAGAUGUUCUUUUGAUUCAGUCAAAUCAAAUUACUUUAUUAUUAAUUGUUUGAGUGCUUGCUCCUGAUUAUUGUAUUAUUCUUUACAGGUUGAAGGCCAAACAGAGGAAGUUAUUUUUGACCAUUUGCAUGCAACUGCUUUCCAGCACACGCCUUUAGGCAGAACCAUUCUUGGUCCUGCUCAAAAUGUCAGGACAAUCACCAAAGAUCAUCUUCAAAAGUAUAUAUCGACACACUAUACUACAUCCAGAAUGGUAGGUGGUGUCAUAAAGUUAUGAGCAUUUUGUCUGUUCAUAAUUUAUUGCUAGUUCUAUUUAGUUGUUAACAUGUUGGCUUCACCUUCAUUCAUCUAUCAAUUAUUCAAUGCCGUCAAUUUUAUUUCUUCACUCUUAUUUUUGUUCUUAAAAGGAUUGUUCUGCCAAUUAAUUUCAUGAUGAUGUGUGCCUUCAAAGCAUGGACAAAUGGAACCCUGGAUUGCUUCUGGUUCUGUAUCUGUUGUAAACUUUUUAUAUAUAUUAUUGAUCGGCUUUGUAAACUUUGUGUAUUAUCUGGAUGGUGAACAAUAAAAAUAAAAAUCUCUGUUUGACACCACUUAGAAUAAGCUUUAGGAAAAGGUGCAUAAUUCAAGUCUCAGUUGGGAAAUAAUACUAGUUGUAAAAGUAAGUGUGGAUGAUUUACCUGGAAGAUAGUAGUCUGAUUGGCAACUCGUAUAACAUCUCGCAUUCUUACACAGAUUUUAUCAACAUGGGAGUAUGUUUUUAGUGUCCAAUUUUCUCUAAACUUUGGAGUGUAUACUUUUAAUUAUAUGCUCAUAAUUACAUAUUACCUAUAAAUAAAAAAAAGAUUCACGAUUAUAGAGAUAGUGUUGCAUUCAUCACCAUUGGAUUGCCUUGUUCUGCGUAGAGUAAUAAACUUAGUUUAGUAGUGUCCCAGGGGUGGAUUUCCGUCUGCAGUAACUGUUUUGCACAUAUAUAGAGCUCAUAACGGCCAUAAUGUAGUUGUGAAAAUCUCAUGCAAAUGUAUAGCUUUGGAUAAGCUUUGUUUGCUCUUUUCUUAUUAGUAUUGUUAUUAUAUGAUGCAGCUGACAGGAAUGAAGAAAACAAGCAAGUCAAUCCUAAUGAGCCAUUACCAAAUCCACUUUUUGAUUGUAGUAUUGCUAUUAGUAUUGUUAUUAUAUGAUGCAGCUGAAGAUUGUAGUAUUGCUAUUAGUAUUGUUAUUGCUAUUAGUAUUGCUAUUAGAAGGAAGAUUGUAGUAUUGCUAUUAGUAUUGUUAUUAUAUGAUGCAGCUGAAGCAAAGUUUCCACUUUUUGAUGUUGAGAAUCAUGUUGCAGAUCAUGGAUAUGGUCCAAAGAGGAGAGAAGCCUCCUAACAUCAGCGAGAUAAAUGAUCUACCACCCAAUCCUAAUGAGCCAUUACCAAAUCCACACUCUGCACCAAGAGCUAAGGUUUGUUUUUGAGUGUUUCAUUCUAUUACAAUUUCCAUUUUUAGUUUUUCCUGCAAUUAUUUCAGAGUUGCACAGACCAUUUAGUGUGGGAGUUUUUUUAUUUUUUAUUUUUAUGAAUAUAGGUUUUUGAAUAAGUAUAUUUUUUUAAAAUUUUUUAUUCUUUGAAUACUACAAUCUUCCUUUCACCAAGCCCAGGCCACUCCACUGUCUUCAAUGCCCAUCACUGUAAGUCUGUAAUAGGCAAUCACACUCUAUGAAUCUGAAUUAUUGAUAACUAUAGCUCAACUAAUAAGUUGAUUGUCAAAAUCUUAGCUGAUCUAGUUAUUUAUUGAUAUCUAAUUUGGCUUGGAAGUGUGCCACCAAGUUGUGUGUUAUUUUUCUGAAUCAGGAGGCGGAGCGGAUGCUAAUGGUGGGAGACUGGGGAUGCACACAAGUGGGAUUCAAGAAGUACAAGAGGAGUAUUAAUGAAGAGAACUGAAGAGGGAUUAAUAUAAGGUAUUCAAAAAGGUAUACAGGUGGAUCUUCCUCAGGCCCAGCAGCAAUUGUAGCUUCUGGGCUUUGUUCAGCUGCACUAGGAACAGAUGGUGGAGGUUCAGUUCGUAUUCCUUCUUCCCUUUGUGGUGUAGUGGGCUUGAAAACAACAUAUGGUCGGACUGACAUGAAAGGGUAAAAUCUUGGAAUUAUAUGAUGUCCAGUGUCUUACAUUACCAUUGUCCAUUUUACUGUACGGUUCUCUGCAUAAUGAAGUCACAUUAACUGAUAAAAAGAAGCAUAAUGCUUGCGUCUGUCAGCCAAUCUUCUGCGUGUUUUAGGGGAGGUUUAUUGAUUAGUAUAUUUACAGACACCCACACACACACACACAUAUAUAUGCAUGCAAAUAUCUUUGUACAUUUUUUUCUUUUAUGUGAUAGAGGGCUUGCUUCA
This is a non-coding RNA of Camellia sinensis, 2498 nucleotides long. NCBI's taxonomy places the organism in Eukaryota, Viridiplantae, Streptophyta, Magnoliopsida, Ericales, Theaceae. The record is from RefSeq and is a predicted model, not a curated record.